UACGAAGGGGGCUAGCGUUGCUCGGAAUCACUGGGCGUAAAGGGUGCGUAGGCGGGUCUUUAAGUCAGGGGUGAAAUCCUGGAGCUCAACUCCAGAACUGCCUUUGAUACUGAAGAUCUUGAGUUCGGGAGAGGUGAGUGGAACUGCGAGUGUAGAGGUGAAAUUCGAAGAUAUUCGCAAGAACACCAGUGGCGAAGGCGGCUCACUGGCCCGAUACUGACGCUGAGGCACGAAAGCGUGGGGAGCAAACAGG
Molecule: ribosomal RNA, 253 nt
Filed under: uncultured bacterium
Lineage: Bacteria
Description: partial 16S ribosomal RNA
Rfam family: Bacterial small subunit ribosomal RNA
Source: RNAcentral